GCCUGUGAACACAGCAGGUACACAUGAUGCACACAAUUCAAUACUCACUCUGAACAUCACUUGUCAGGAGGAAUGUGAUAACAUGCACCACCAGCUGAUCA
Molecule: small nucleolar RNA, 101 nt
Organism: Trypanosoma brucei brucei TREU927
Lineage: Eukaryota; Euglenozoa; Kinetoplastea; Trypanosomatida; Trypanosomatidae
Source: RefSeq, a predicted model, not a curated record